RNAcentral lists this ribosomal RNA (484 nucleotides) under uncultured bacterium. Its description in RNAcentral is "SSU rRNA". It matches the Rfam family "Bacterial small subunit ribosomal RNA", at positions 26 to 518 of the family's 1533-position model. The record is from RNAcentral.
AGGACGAACGCUGGCGGCGUGCCUAACACAUGCAAGUCGAACGAGGUCCAACCGGUAGCAAUACCGGUGAAGACCAAGUGGCGAACGGGUGAGUAGCACGUGAGCAACCUACCCCGAAGACCGGGACAACACCGGGAAAACCGGUGCUAAUACCGGAUAUCCCCACCGGGUCGCAUGGCUUGGUGAGGAAAUGGAUUCCGCUUCGGGAGGGGCUCGCGGCCUAUCAGCUAGUUGGUGAGGUAACGGCUCACCAAGGCUUCGACGGGUAGCUGGUCUGAGAGGACGAUCAGCCACACUGGGACUGAGACACGGCCCAGACUCCUACGGGAGGCAGCAGUGGGGAAUCUUGCACAAUGGGCGAAAGCCUGAUGCAGCAACGCCGCGUGAGGGACGAAGGCUUUCUGAGUUGUAAACCUCUUUCAGCAGGGACGAUGAUGACGGUACCUGCAGAAGACGCCCGGCCAACUACGUGCCAGCACGCCGC